GGAGUCGGCCGGGCGACGGCCUCGCUUAAUUGCGGGGAGGAAAGUCCGGGCUCCAAAGGGCAGGGCGCCAGGUAACACCUGGGCGGAGCGAUCCGACGGAAAGUGCAACAGAAACAUACCGCCUCGACUUGGUCGGGGUAAGGGUGAAAUGGUGGGGUAAGAGCCCACCUCGGUCCGUCGUAAGGCGGCCGGGUGCAAACCCCGCCCGGAGCAAGGCCUAAUAGGAGGGGGAUGAUGCUGCCCGCGGACCCCUCGGGUUGGCCGCACCAGCUCGCCGGCGACAGCGAGCGCAGACAGAUCGUCGCACAAAGACAGAACCCGGCUUAUAGGCCGACUCCCAGA
This 342-nucleotide RNase P RNA is filed under the name Armatimonadota bacterium. RNAcentral's name for it is "Armatimonadetes bacterium (bioreactor metagenome) RNase P RNA component class A". It matches the Rfam family "Bacterial RNase P class A". From Rfam's summary of the family: Ribonuclease P (RNase P) is a ubiquitous endoribonuclease, found in archaea, bacteria and eukarya as well as chloroplasts and mitochondria. Its best characterised activity is the generation of mature 5'-ends of tRNAs by cleaving the 5'-leader elements of precursor-tRNAs. Cellular RNase Ps are ribonucleoproteins. The record is from RNAcentral. RNAcentral also lists the same sequence under 2 other names. Lineage: Bacteria; Bacillati; Armatimonadota.